Molecule: long non-coding RNA, 1318 nt
Organism: Thunnus maccoyii (southern bluefin tuna)
Lineage: Eukaryota; Metazoa; Chordata; Actinopteri; Scombriformes; Scombridae
Exons: 3
Source: RefSeq, a predicted model, not a curated record
GUGCAUGUAUAAAUAGGGAUGUGAGUACAUUUGCACUCACAAUCCGUGAGUGCAAAUGAGAUUCAUGGGCAUGGAUGUAGGGGAGCCAUGCGCGCAAGUUAAACAGCUGUGCAUUAUUUUUGCAAGUGCUCACACAGAAAACCAUACUUUGACCAUGUGCAGAAUCUGAAGGAGCAUGUGACUAUUAUCCCCAAGCACACAGCUACUAUCAUUGCUCUCCUUCUCGCAAAACUUUCACCUGCUUGCUCACGAACGUUUUUUCUUUUUAGCAGGAAGUGGGCGGAGCCAGUCACCACUGUAUCCCUAAAUAAGAUUGGUUACAGUCUUCAUCUUUUAUUAUUGGCUGUUGUCUUUGUAUCAGUGCAAGUAAACAAGAAAGGACAAAGAAACAAUGUACCCUGUCACUACACGAUCUGAGUCAACUGUGGAUGUGAGUUGCACAUGUGUGAGUUGGUCCGCCAUCUUGGACAGCUAGUGGGAGUCCGAGCCUCUGUGUGCUGUAAAUGUCACCCGUCAUCAGGCGUUUGUGCAGCGUAUGCCCUUGUACGAAGGGGAAAGUGCAGAUGUUGCAGAUCCCAGCCUUUGAUUUAGACACGAAAGGCAGGCCGGCAGCAUACGCACUGAGGCAUGAAGAGGAUCCCAUACAGUGUAAAUCUGCAGUGUUGGUCUGCAUCAGCACAGAUGUCGUUCUAUGGCAGCUUCAGUCAGGCAGUUCAUGAGUACCACAAGGGCAACAGCUUCAGUGAUAUGUGUUCUCCACAGAUAUGAUUUCAACUGAACAACAUGCCCCAUCAAAGACCACUGAUCUGAAGGCGAGUGGAUUUACAUUAGGUCAUUACCGGUCUGUAUUCUCACAUGUAUCCACACAUCAUUAGAAAAAUAUAGUAAGAUGAAUAAGUUAUACUGAUAGCAAUGCUGAAAACUAUACUUCAGAAUCACCUUUGGAGUUAGUCAGCAAGCUUACUGGUAAUAGAGUAAGCAUAAUUGUUAAAGAUCCCAUCCAGACAUGUAUAAAGACAUAUACAAAUACUCUGCUCAGAACAAUAAUGUGUGUCUGACAUGGUUUCCCCCCCCAAAAAAGUAGAAUUACCACUGUAAAAUCCUUAAAAUGACAUCUACUCCUUCUCCCUCAUUAAAAAUUCCAGAAUCUAUAAAUAUGCAAAUAUGUAUAUUUCAUUAUAGAAGUUGGUAACACUUUACAGUAAAGGUACAUUAAUUAACAUUACUUAAUGCAGUAAUAAGCAUUAACUAAAAGUUAAUUAACAGUAAACUGAUGUGUCUAGUAAUCAUUUACUAAUGGUGUUCAUGUUAACCAAGG